Molecule: microRNA precursor, 197 nt
Filed under: Oryza rufipogon (brownbeard rice)
Lineage: Eukaryota; Viridiplantae; Streptophyta; Magnoliopsida; Poales; Poaceae
Description: MIR812 microRNA precursor family
Rfam family: MIR812 microRNA precursor family
Source: Rfam by way of RNAcentral
AAAAAGACAAACCCUAAAUUUUCGUGUCCAAUUUUGAUUGUCCGUCUUAUAUGAAAUUUUUUUAUAAUUCGUAUUUUCAUUGUUGUUAGAUGAUAAAACAUGAUUAAUAUUUUAUGCGUGACUCGUCUUUUUAAUUUUUUUAGAUAAGACCCAGGGUUUGUCAAACGUUAGACAUGGAAACCAGGGUUUGUCUUUUU